UAGAGCCGGUCUCCUUGCUCAG
This 22-nucleotide unclassified non-coding RNA is filed under the name Mus musculus (house mouse). RNAcentral describes it as "oocyte_clustered_small_RNA9866". Lineage: Eukaryota; Metazoa; Chordata; Mammalia; Rodentia; Muridae. The record is from RNAcentral.